AGUGAACGCUGGCGGUAGGCCUAACACAUGCAAGUCGAACGGUAGCACAGUAAUAGCUUGCUGUUAUGGGUGGCGAGUGGCGGGUGGGUGAGGAAUAAAUCGGAAUCUACUUUUUCGUGGGGGAUAACGUAGGGGAACUUACGCUAAUACCGCAUACGACCUACGGGUGAAAGCUGGGGAUCUUCGUCCCUUGCGCGAUUGAAUGAGCCGAUUUCGGAUUAGCUAGUUGGCGGGGUAAAGGCCCACCAAGGCGACGAUCCGUAGCUGGUCUGAGAGGAUGAUCAGCCACACUGGAACUGAGACACGGUCCAGACUCCUGCGAGAGGCAGCAGUGGGGAAUAUUGGACAAUGGGCGCAAGCCUGAUCCAGCGAUACCGCGUGGGUGAAGAAGGCGUUCGGGUUGUAAAGCCCUUUUGUUGGGAAAGAAAAGCAGCAGGUUAAUACGACGCUGUUCUGACGGUACCCAAAGAAUAAGCACCGGCUAACUUCGUG
This 492-nucleotide ribosomal RNA is filed under the name uncultured bacterium. RNAcentral's name for it is "partial 16S ribosomal RNA". It matches the Rfam family "Bacterial small subunit ribosomal RNA", at positions 29 to 507 of the family's 1533-position model. The record is from RNAcentral.